Molecule: long non-coding RNA, 926 nt
Organism: Miniopterus natalensis
Lineage: Eukaryota; Metazoa; Chordata; Mammalia; Chiroptera; Miniopteridae
Source: RefSeq, a predicted model, not a curated record
AGACUCAUCCGCGCCUCGCGUGCGUCCACCCGCAUUCCUCUGGUGCAUGCUAUGGACACACCACAGCUUGUUUGUCCAUUCAGCCGCUGAUGGACGUUUGGGCAGCUUCCAGUUUUUCGACCACGAUGGAAAACAAAGCGGGUGGUUUUGACGGCUCUGAGUCCCCUGCAUUUCCACCGGAGCUGUGGAGCUAGGCGUGGAAACCUGCCGGGAUUUUGACCGGGAUCGCAUCGCAUCUACAGACUAAGGCGAGGGAGAAUCGAUGUCCUCACGGUCUUGGUCGAAUCUCCCAACCCAUGAAUACCCUCUGGCCGGACAGCCGGGUGACGGGGAGCAGAGCGUGCGUCCCGGAGACGUGCCUCUCCGGGGAUAUCGAUUGUUCGAAGCUAAUAAACGGGAAAGAACGGCAGCCGUGGGGAAUCCCCGAGAACCAAGGGGAGUCCCCCGCUGUGAUCCGGCGUUUACGUCUUGGGGGGGACCUCCGCUCCAGAGGGGUCUCCCUCGGGGACCGGGAAGGGCAGGGUGCCUGCCCCACACGCAUCUGAGGACCCCGUGUCCUGCGCUCCGGAGCCGCCCCCAGCCCCCCGACAUCGUCUCCGGCCCUCAGCUGCACGUGGCGGUUACCGGGGUGGCCUCUGCCGUCUCGGGGAGUCGCUCAGAGGUCCCCGCCCGUCCUGCGUGAGCAGGAGGUGUGCCCCGUGCCUACACGUGGACCUGCUCUCCUGCUAACCUGCCUCGUGUGGGUUCGAUGAUUGACGUGGCUGGAGAACCUGGGCGGACAGAGGAGAAGCUUCCCCCCGACAGUGACCGUGAAGGGGAGGCCUGACCAUCCGGCCCUGCCCUCGAUUUUAAAGUGAACCUCCUAACGGUUCCGUUACGUGCGCGCCGUAGGUUUGCCUUCCCGAGGCCGAGGAGCUGUGUGGUUU